GUUUUGAAGGCAAGAAAGAAAACAUUUGGCUAUGUCUCUUAGUAAGGACCUUAUAUUCUUGAUAUUGCAAUUCUGCAAAGAGGAGAACUUCACGAAAACUGCUCGCAUGUUAGGGCAGGAGUCAGAGUUAUUCUUUGACAUGGGACAUAUUGAAGCUCUCGUUCUCGGUGGCAAGUGGGAUGAAAUUGAGAACUAUCUUUCAGGUUUCACUGGUGUCACUGAAAGCAGAUAUUCUAAAAAAAUGUUUUUCGAGAUUAGGAAACAGAAGUUCCUUGAGGC
This 279-nucleotide unclassified non-coding RNA is filed under the name Hevea brasiliensis (rubber tree). Lineage: Eukaryota; Viridiplantae; Streptophyta; Magnoliopsida; Malpighiales; Euphorbiaceae. The record is from RNAcentral.